This is a long non-coding RNA of Oryctolagus cuniculus (rabbit), 1022 nucleotides long. RefSeq lists it as uncharacterized. The record is from RefSeq and is a predicted model, not a curated record. NCBI's taxonomy places the organism in Eukaryota, Metazoa, Chordata, Mammalia, Lagomorpha, Leporidae.
GGUAGUAGACUGGUGGGACGCGAGGAGCGGAUCUGGGUGUCUAACUACCCCCCGCAGUGAAACUUUCCACCAGCCCUGCUUCCUAGCUCCACCCUACACUCCAGCAAGUGAAGCUGCUUGAUCCCCCCAAUUCUGAGACGUUCCAGAGUUCUGCCAGCAAAUCUGUCUCCAGUUCUCAGGAAGACGUCUUCAGCGUUUGUCCUGCCAAAGACUACCAGUAACGAUGUUGAAGAGGAGUAAUGAGAAGGGGCAUCUUCGCUUCGUUCUUGAUCUUGACACGAAAGCUUCCAGUUUCUCAGCCUUGAGUAAGGGAUAGUCCUAACCUAAGGAAGAAGUAUCUGCUGAGGAGGAAUCCCACGGCCUGGGAGGUAUCAGUCUUUCCCGAGACAUCGGUUUCACUUGCUUGUAGAACAUUAAAAAGAAAUUGGAAGUGAUAAACGCAUUAAUCUACAGCUACUUAUGAUUAGGCUGUUCUGGCUAAAAUGGAAUACAUUAUCUGGAAGACAUCUUUCAGACUCCCAAGGCACUUUAAAAUAAUGAAAACAUAUAAAAUAAUAUCUAAGUAAUUAAAGUAAUGGCAAAUAAAAACUUAGCACUAUAUAGAAUUGCCUCUCGGAGUAAUACAUCUCUUUUUAUAAGCCCUUUGUGCUAUAGCUAUUAAUUUUUAAGUAAGAAGAUAUUGCUCUUGAACCAAAAAUGGGAUAUUAACUAACACAUACACUAUUAAUUGCUUUGCAAAUGCAAAGUGCUAAAUUCCGGUUUAUAAAAAUAAACCUUUGAGGGGAUCUGAUAAAAUCUACCCACAGUGCCCACUUCUGAAUGAUCCAAGCAUGAGAGGAGACUCCCCAUUCUAGGGCCAUAAAAACUGCUCCGGGCGAAAGGAGAGCCCGUGUCUCUUCUGCGAGUGGAUUGUCAUGCACCAGGAAGCCUGGGUUGUCACCCUCUGUCCCCACCUCACAGAGUCACUCUUCCCAUUGGCCCAACCCUUCCUGCGACACACGGUGUUUAUUCUCCCACCCCCU